CCUACGGGCGGCAGCAGUGGGGAAUAUUGGACAAUGGGGGGAACCCUGAUCCAGCCAUGCCGCGUGUGUGAAGAAGGCCCUCGGGUUGUAAAGCACUUUCAGUGAGGAAGAACGCCUGGUGGUUAAUACCCAUCAGGAAAGACAUCACUCACAGAAGAAGCACCGGCUAACUCCGUGCCAGCAGCCGCGGUAAUACGGAGGGUGCGAGCGUUAAUCGGAAUCACUGGGCGUAAAGCGCGCGUAGGUGGCUUGAUAAGCCGGUUGUGAAAGCCCCGGGCUCAACCUGGGAACGGCAUCCGGAACUGUCAAGCUAGAGUGCAGGAGAGGAAGGUAGAAUUCCCGGUGUAGCGGUGAAAUGCGUAGAGAUCGGGAGGAAUACCAGUGGCGAAGGCGGCCUUCUGGACUGACACUGACACUGAGGUGCGAAAGCGUGGGUAGCAAACAGGAUUAGAUACCCGUGUAGUC
RNAcentral lists this ribosomal RNA (465 nucleotides) under Vreelandella stevensii. Its description in RNAcentral is "partial 16S ribosomal RNA". It matches the Rfam family "Bacterial small subunit ribosomal RNA", at positions 338 to 795 of the family's 1533-position model. The record is from RNAcentral. Lineage: Bacteria; Pseudomonadati; Pseudomonadota; Gammaproteobacteria; Oceanospirillales; Halomonadaceae.